AAGACUACUUUCAGGAAUCAUCUCUACAUAGUUACGAGAGAAGUUUCUCUGAACACAGCGCUCUGGACACCUCGAGGAGGAGGUUCAGCGUUCUCUCCUGAGUGUGAAGCUGGCUCUUGGCGUUGCUUCUGCAGCCGUCAUUUGCCACUGAUAAUCAAUCCUUCUUUUUCUUUGGGAGAGUAAGAGGGAGAAGAUGCCAUCUGAGUGCC
Small nucleolar RNA from Molossus molossus (Pallas's mastiff bat), 209 nucleotides. RefSeq annotates it as small nucleolar RNA U3. The transcript has a single exon. The record is from RefSeq and is a predicted model, not a curated record. NCBI's taxonomy places the organism in Eukaryota, Metazoa, Chordata, Mammalia, Chiroptera, Molossidae.